UACGUAGGGACCAAGCGUUGUUCGGAUUUACUGGGCGUAAAGGGCGCGUAGGCGGCAUGACAAGUCACUUGUGAAAUCUCCGGGCUUAACUCGGAACGGCCAAGUGAAACUGUCGAGCUAGAGUGCAGAAGGGGCAAUCGGAAUUCUUGGUGUAGCGGUGAAAUGCGUAGAUAUCAAGAGGAACACCUGAGGUGAAGACGGGUUGCUGGGCUGACACUGACGCUGAGGCGCGAAAGCCAGGGGAGCAAACGGGAUUAGAAA
RNAcentral lists this ribosomal RNA (261 nucleotides) under uncultured bacterium. Its description in RNAcentral is "partial 16S ribosomal RNA". It matches the Rfam family "Bacterial small subunit ribosomal RNA", at positions 524 to 784 of the family's 1533-position model. The record is from RNAcentral.